AAGCGAUCUCAGCAAAACACAACUGUUAGAAGCACUGUGCUAUUCUCAAACCCGUGCAAGAGAAGCUGAACAAUUGGCACAGCAAGCAUACAACGAAAAGGAGCAUGUGAUCAAGCUGUUGUUCAGGCAGGCUUCUCAGCUCUUUGCUUACCGGCAGUGGCUUCAAAUUUUGCAGCUUGAAGCUCUGGUCCUCCAGCUCAGGAACAAAGAUG
This 212-nucleotide unclassified non-coding RNA is filed under the name Hevea brasiliensis (rubber tree). Lineage: Eukaryota; Viridiplantae; Streptophyta; Magnoliopsida; Malpighiales; Euphorbiaceae. The record is from RNAcentral.